GGGGAAUAUUGCGCAAUGGGCGAAAGCCUGACGCAGCCACGCCGCGUGAGCGAUGAAGGCCUUCGGGUCGUAAAGCUCUGUGGGGAGAGAAGAAUAAAGCCUGUGAAGAGCGGGCCUUGACGGUAUCUCCUUAGCAAGCACCGGCUAACUCCGUGCCAGCAGCCGCGGUAAUACGGAGGGUGCAAACGUUGCUCGGAAUCAUUGGGCGUAAAGCGCACGUAGGCGGCGAAGUAAGUUGGGUGUGAAAGCCCCGGGCUCAACCCGGGAAGUGCAUUCAAAACUGUUUCGCUUGAAUCUCGGAGGGGGUCAGAGAAUUCCCGGUGUAGAGGUGAAAUUCGUAGAUAUCGGGAGGAAUACCAGUGGCGAAGGCGCUGACCUGGACGAAGAUUGACGCUGAGGUGCGAAAGCGCGGGGAGCAAAC
Molecule: ribosomal RNA, 421 nt
Filed under: uncultured bacterium
Lineage: Bacteria
Description: bacterial SSU rRNA
Rfam family: Bacterial small subunit ribosomal RNA
Source: RNAcentral